This 435-nucleotide ribosomal RNA is filed under the name uncultured Burkholderiales bacterium. RNAcentral describes it as "bacterial SSU rRNA". It matches the Rfam family "Bacterial small subunit ribosomal RNA", at positions 61 to 489 of the family's 1533-position model. Lineage: Bacteria; Pseudomonadati; Pseudomonadota; Betaproteobacteria; Burkholderiales. The record is from RNAcentral.
GUCGAACGGCAGCGGGUCCUUCGGGAUGCCGGCGAGCGGCGAACGGGUGAGUAAUGUAUCGGAACGUGCCCAGUAGCGGGGGAUAACUACGCGAAAGCGUGGCUAAUACCGCAUACGCCCUUAGGGGGAAAGGCGGGGAUCCUUCGGGACCUGUCACUAUUGGAGCGGCCGAUAUCGGAUUAGCUGGUUGGUGGGGUAAUGGCCUACCAAGGCGACGAUCCGUAGCUGGUUUGAGAGGACGACCAGCCACACUGGGACUGAGACACGGCCCAGACUCCUACGGGAGGCAGCAGUGGGGAAUUUUGGACAAUGGGGGCAACCCUGAUCCAGCCAUCCCGCGUGUGCGAUGAAGGCCUUCGGGUUGUAAAGCACUUUUGGCAGGGAAGAAAUUGCCUGGGUUAAUAGCCUGGGCCGAUGACGGUACCUGCAGAAUAA